GCUGUCCUAGAACAGCACCACAGGCCUGGCUCGGCUUUGCCUGUGACAUUGGGGCAAAGAGCAAGUGGCUAUUUCUACGCUCAGUGUUCAGAAGCCAGUGAGCACUAAGAAUGGUUUGUAGCCUGACAUUU
Molecule: small nucleolar RNA, 131 nt
Organism: Rattus norvegicus (Norway rat)
Lineage: Eukaryota; Metazoa; Chordata; Mammalia; Rodentia; Muridae
Product: small nucleolar RNA SNORA43
Source: Ensembl